RNAcentral lists this ribosomal RNA (685 nucleotides) under Bacillus pumilus. Its description in RNAcentral is "bacterial SSU rRNA". It matches the Rfam family "Bacterial small subunit ribosomal RNA", at positions 555 to 1241 of the family's 1533-position model. Lineage: Bacteria; Bacillati; Bacillota; Bacilli; Caryophanales; Bacillaceae. The record is from RNAcentral.
UGGGCGUAAGGGCUCGCAGGCGGUUUCUUAAGUCUGAUGUGAAAGCCCCCGGCUCAACCGGGGAGGGUCAUUGGAAACUGGGAAACUUGAGUGCAGAAGAGGAGAGUGGAAUUCCACGUGUAGCGGUGAAAUGCGUAGAGAUGUGGAGGAACACCAGUGGCGAAGGCGACUCUCUGGUCUGUAACUGACGCUGAGGAGCGAAAGCGUGGGGAGCGAACAGGAUUAGAUACCCUGGUAGUCCACGCCGUAAACGAUGAGUGCUAAGUGUUAGGGGGUUUCCGCCCCUUAGUGCUGCAGCUAACGCAUUAAGCACUCCGCCUGGGGAGUACGGUCGCAAGACUGAAACUCAAAGGAAUUGACGGGGGCCCGCACAAGCGGUGGAGCAUGUGGUUUAAUUCGAAGCAACGCGAAGAACCUUACCAGGUCUUGACAUCCUCUGACAACCCUAGAGAUAGGGCUUUCCCUUCGGGGACAGAGUGACAGGUGGUGCAUGGUUGUCGUCAGCUCGUGUCGUGAGAUGUUGGGUUAAGUCCCGCAACGAGCGCAACCCUUGAUCUUAGUUGCCAGCAUUCAGUUGGGCACUCUAAGGUGACUGCCGGUGACAAACCGGAGGAAGGUGGGGAUGACGUCAAAUCAUCAUGCCCCUUAUGACCUGGGCUACACACGUGCUACAAUGGACAGAACA